UUGAUCCUGCCGGACCCGACUGCUAUCAGAAUAGGACUAAGCCAUGCGAGUCAACGUAGCAAUACGUGGCAUACGGCUCAGUAACACGUAGUCAACAUGCCCAGGGGACGUGGAUAACCUCGGGAAACUGAGGAUAAACCGCGAUAGGUCAUAAUAUCUGGAAUGAUUUCUGGCUUAAAUCUAUAUGGCCCCUGGAUUGGACUGCGGCCGAUCAGGCUGUUGGUGAGGUAAUGGCCCACCAAACCUAAAACCGGUACGGGCUCUGAGAGGAGAAGCCCGGAGAUGGGCACUGAGACAAGGGCCCAGGCCCUAUGGGGCGCAGCAGGCGCGAAAACUCUGCAAUAAGCGAAAGCUUGACAGGGUUAUUCUGAGUGAUUUCCGCUAAGGAAAUCUUUUGGCACCUCUAAAAAUGGUGCAGAAUAAGGGGUGGGCAAGCCUGGUGUCAGCCGCCGCGGUAAUACCAGCACCCCGAGUGGUCGGGACGAUUAUUGGGCCUAAAGCAUCCGUAGCCGGUUCUACAAGUCUUCCGUUAAAUCCACCUGCUUAACAGAUGGGCUGCGGAGGAUACUAUGGAGCUAGGAGGCGGGAGAGGCAAGCGGUACUUAGUGGGUAGGGGUAAAAUCCGUUGAUCCAUUGAAGACCACCAGUGGCGAAGGCGGCUUGCCAGAACGCACUCGACGGUGAGGGAUGAAAGCUGGGGGAGCAAACCGGAUUAGAUACC
RNAcentral lists this ribosomal RNA (721 nucleotides) under uncultured Nitrososphaerota archaeon. RNAcentral's name for it is "bacterial SSU rRNA". It matches the Rfam family "Archaeal small subunit ribosomal RNA", at positions 8 to 737 of the family's 1478-position model. The record is from RNAcentral. Lineage: Archaea; Thermoproteati; Nitrososphaerota.